This is an RNA transcript of Manihot esculenta (cassava), 1657 nucleotides long. It is a transcript of the gene named 24-methylenesterol C-methyltransferase 2, with no coding region annotated. NCBI's taxonomy places the organism in Eukaryota, Viridiplantae, Streptophyta, Magnoliopsida, Malpighiales, Euphorbiaceae. The record is from RefSeq and is a predicted model, not a curated record. The transcript is spliced from 3 exons.
AGUCAUCCCCGUUACAUUUUUUUUUGCCAUUUCAAAAAAUGGACUCUAUUGCUCUCUUUUGCACUGGAGCUCUCCUCGCCGGCGGCAUCUACUGGUUCGUUUGCAUUCUCGGCCCAGCAGAGCAGAAAGGCAAACGGGCUGUAGAUCUUUCUGGCGGCUCGAUCUCUGCCGAGAAAGUCCAGGACAACUACAAGCAGUACUGGUCCUUCUUUCGCCGCCCAAAAGAGAUCGAAACAGCAGAGAAAGUCCCCGAUUUCGUCGACACAUUCUACAACUUAGUCACCGAUAUUUACGAGUGGGGAUGGGGCCAGUCCUUCCACUUUUCUCCGUCAGUCCCAGGGAAGUCCCACCGUGAUGCGACGCGCCUCCAUGAAGAGAUGGCCGUCGAUCUCAUCGACGUCAAGCCUGGAGAUCGAAUCUUAGAUGUGGGAUGCGGCGUUGGUGGGCCUAUGCGUGCCAUCGCCGCCCACUCACGCGCCAAUGUUGUGGGCAUCACCAUCAACGAUUACCAGGUGAACCGUGCGCGUUUGCACAACAAGAAAGCUCGCCUAGAUUCGCUCUGCGAAGUUGUGUGUGGGAAUUUCCUGGAGAUGCCAUUCCCGGAAAACAGCUUCUACGGUGCAUACUCUAUUGAAGCUACAUGCCACGCGCCGAAGCUGGAAGAGGUAUAUGCGGAGAUCUUCCGAGUAUUGAAGCCUGGAUCUCUCUACGUGUCCUAUGAAUGGGUCACAACUGACAAGUACAAUGCUAACAAUCCUGAACACGUAGAGAUCAUUCAAGGCAUUGAAAGAGGAGAUGCCUUGCCUGGGCUCCGAAGCUACACAGAUAUCGCCGAGACGGCGAGGAAAGUCGGGUUCGAGGUGGUGAAAGAGAAGGACUUGGCAAAACCACCGGCACAGCCAUGGUGGACGAGACUUAAAAUGGGUAGGAUCGCCUACUGGAGGAAUCACCUUCUCAUUACAAUAUUAGCUGCCUUGGGGAUAGCUCCAAAGGGAACCGUGGAUGUCCACGAGAUGCUUUUCAGAACCGCGGAUUAUCUGACAAAGGGAGGCGACACUGGGAUUUUCACUCCGAUGCAUAUGAUUCUCUGCAGAAAACCUGAAACACCCUCAAAUUCUUAAUCGAAGAGAUGGUUUGAGAAAUUGUAAAGGCGCUUUUGCAAAGAAAAGGCGUAGCUAGGUGGGCAGGGGCCAGCAGUCCAGCACUGGUUCUUGACUUUUGCUCUGGGAUAAUUCAGCCAAAUGGAUACAGCUUUUUGUGGCUGUAGGAUGUCAUGUUGACUAUGGGAUUGGGCUGGAUCCUCUCAUUUACCGGUGGAUAUUAAUAGAGGGGUAUUUGUGGGCAGCUCACUCGAGGCUAAAAAGUGGAAAGAUUUUGGGCAAUGUAUGCAAUCUCAAGGAGUAAUUGAAGGAUGAGUAGCUUGGAGGUCCCACGUUCUGAAUCUUCUCCAAGAUUUCUUAUUAAAUUUGGUGAUGUUUCCCUGAAUAGAGUCCGGUCAUGAGAGAGUUGCACCGUGGAUGAUACGAUACGAUACGACUUCAUUUCAGCAAAGCUUGUGUUUCUAAUAUUAUAUGUUUAUGUUAGGACGCAUAGCGAAAGAACUUGGCUGUUCUUUACACAGUUCAUUAAGGAUUUUUGGAAAUAUUUUGUUUUUGGC